AUGGAAGAGAAAGGGAGGUUUGGCGGGUUCAUGGUGACACUUCUGAAAUGGUAUCUGGAAAGUGCUAAAAAUGUGACGCCUCCAGGAAAUUGUUCUGAAACUGGAAACCAGCAGGAAAUUGACCUGAAUAGACCACAGGCAACAUUCAGAGCAUUGUUUAAAACAUAUUCCUUUAUAAGAGCCGUAACAUUUUUUUCAUAAGUGCAACAGCACUCAUAUUCAAAGUUCUGAACCCAGUACAUAUAAGUUGACCUGUAGUGCAAUAUCAUCAUAAGUUAUAGCACAGGGAGGCUUACAUUUUUUAUGGGAUUAGGAGUUUAUCUUCACAGCCUGUGUAGGAUCAUUGCUGCAUAUCACGACCACCAUUAAAAGCUUGCAAAGUUUCCGUGAGGACAAAUUUUUACUAUUAUGAAGUCACCUAAAGAUGUUUUGGAGGAAACUACUGUUUAGUUGAUUAUUUCAUAUUUUACUGAACUUUUUUCCAUUGAUUAUAAUUUUUUUUCAAACAGACGCCAUCAGCACUGCUCCUAAGUACGAUGGUCUCCUGUAGAGAUGCUCAAACUACUGUUUGGAGUUUGAAAUACUCUCACAUAAAUAAGUAAAAAAAAAUGAUAUUAAUCAAGCUCUGUAGAAAAUCUAACACAUGACCCUCAUUUUAUUUGAUUCUAAAGUGAAAUUCGUUCAGCUCUUUUGUAACCUUCCUUUUUGAAGCCUUAUGUUUUACAGUCAGUUGAACUCACAAGCUGAGCUUGCCCUUUCUGUAUCAUCUUCCGGUCGCCAUUCUCCAGAUGGAAUUUUCUCUUCCAUCUUUUACGCGGCACACCAUAAUCACAUGUUCUGCUCUUUUAUAUAGCUUUACUUUGCAACUGCAAUCUGGCGCCUGCUUUGCUUCUCUUUACAACACCUAAGGGUGCACAUGACUUUGAGAAAUAACUUCCAAUGAACUGCCAUCCUAAGAUACUACAUAAACGAAAGGAAAUACACAUGUAUCAAGGACAGGAAGGAAAUCAUAUAUCUACCUCAAGUUUAGGGAGAGGCAUGUUUUAUAUAACUUUUUCCACAUCCUUAUAAUUAUUUCUACAUUCUGGAAAUGUAUAUGCUCACUAUGUGCAAGACAUACACAGGACAUGAAAAUCAGAAACUUUCCUCUAGCUCUUUAUGCAUCUGGCUGAAAUAAUAAAUAAAAAAGUGACUUUAAAUAGCCUAUGUUU
This 1211-nucleotide long non-coding RNA is filed under the name Sus scrofa (pig). Its description in RNAcentral is "lncRNA (ENSSSCG00035006889.1)". Lineage: Eukaryota; Metazoa; Chordata; Mammalia; Artiodactyla; Suidae. The record is from RNAcentral.